AGUGAACGCUGGCGGUAGGCCUAACACAUGCAAGUCGAACGGCAGCACAGUAAGAGCUUGCUCUUACGGGUGGCGAGUGGCGGACGGGUGAGGAAUACAUCGGAAUCUACUUUUUCGUGGGGGAUAACGUAGGGAAACUUACGCUAAUACCGCAUACGACCUACGGGUGAAAGCAGGGGAUCUUCGGACCUUGCGCGAUUGAAUGAGCCGAUGUCGGAUUAGCUAGUUGGCGGGGUAAUGGCCCACCAAGGCGACGAUCCGUAGCUGGUCUGAGAGGAUGAUCAGCCACACUGGAACUGAGACACUGUCCAGACUCCUACGGGAGGCAGCAGUGGGGAAUAUUGGACAAUGGGCGCAAGCCUGAUCCAGCCAUACCGCGUGGGUGAAGAAGGCCUUCGGGUUGUAAAGCCCUUUUGUUGGGAAAGAAACGCAGCAGGUUAAUACCCCGCUGUUCUGACGGUACCCAAAGAAUAAGCACCGGCUAACUUCGUG
Molecule: ribosomal RNA, 492 nt
Filed under: uncultured bacterium
Lineage: Bacteria
Description: partial 16S ribosomal RNA
Rfam family: Bacterial small subunit ribosomal RNA
Source: RNAcentral